UAUGUAGGCGGCGCUGUUAGUCGGGUGUGAAAUCCCUCGGCUCAACCGAGGAAUUGCGCCCGAUACUGCAGUGCUUGAGGGAGACAGAGGUAAGCGGAACUGAUGGUGGAGCGGUGAAAUGCGUUGAUAUCAUCAGGAACACCGGUGGCGAAAGCGGCUUACUGGGUCUCUUCUGACGCUGAGAUACAAAGCUAGGGGAGCGAAGGG
This 207-nucleotide ribosomal RNA is filed under the name uncultured bacterium. RNAcentral's name for it is "partial 16S ribosomal RNA". It matches the Rfam family "Bacterial small subunit ribosomal RNA", at positions 568 to 775 of the family's 1533-position model. The record is from RNAcentral.